AAAGAUUAAGCCAUGCAUGUCUAAGUAUAAGCAAUAUAUACGGUGAAACUGCGAAUGGCUCAUUAAAUCAGUUAUCGUUUAUUUGAUAGUACCUUACUACAUGGAUAACCGUGGUAAUUCUAGGGCUAAUACAUGCUAAAAACCCCGACUUCGGGAGGGGUGUAUUUAUUAGAUAAAAAACCAAUGCCCUUCGGGGCUCCUUGGUGAUUCAUAAUAACUUAACGAAUCGCAUGGCCUUGCGCCGGCGAUGGUUCAUUCAAAUUUCUGCCCUAUCAACUUUCGAUGGUAAGGUAUUGGCUUACCAUGGUAUCAACGGGUAACGGGGAAUUAGGGUUCGAUUCCGGAGAGGGAGCCUGAGAAACGGCUACCACAUCCAAGGAAGGCAGCAGGCGCGCAAAUUACCCAAUCCCGACACGGGGAGGUAGUGACAAUAAAUACUGAUACAGGGCUCUUUUGGGUCUUGUAAUUGGAAUGAGUACAAUUUAAAUCCCUUAACGAGGAACAAUUGGAGGGCAAGUCUGGUGCCAGCAGCCGCGGUAAUUCCAGCUCCAAUAGCGUAUAUUAAAGUUGUUGCAGUUAAAAAGCUCGUAGUUGAACCUUGGGCCUGGCUGGCCGGUCCGCCUCACCGCGUGUACUGGUCCGGCCGGGCCUUUCCUUCUGGGGAUCCGCAUGCCCUUCGCUGGGUGUGCCGGGGAACCAGGACUUUUACUUUGAAAAAAUUAGAGUGUUCAAAGCAGGCCUUUGCUCGAAUACAUUAGCAUGGAAUAAUAGAAUAGGAC
Molecule: ribosomal RNA, 779 nt
Filed under: Lichenothelia sp.
Lineage: Eukaryota; Fungi; Ascomycota; Dothideomycetes; Lichenotheliales; Lichenotheliaceae
Description: SSU rRNA
Rfam family: Eukaryotic small subunit ribosomal RNA
Source: RNAcentral